RNAcentral lists this ribosomal RNA (782 nucleotides) under Bacillus halotolerans. RNAcentral describes it as "bacterial SSU rRNA". It matches the Rfam family "Bacterial small subunit ribosomal RNA", at positions 1 to 766 of the family's 1533-position model. The record is from RNAcentral. Lineage: Bacteria; Bacillati; Bacillota; Bacilli; Caryophanales; Bacillaceae.
AAGAUUAAACUGAAGAGUUUGAUCCUGGCUCAGAUUGAACGCUGGUGGCAUGCUUAACACAUGCAAGUCGAACGGUAGCAGAUCUAGCUUGCUAGAUGCUGACGAGUGGCGGACGGGUGAGUAACGCGUGGGAAUUUACCUUUUAGUGGGGGAUAACUUUAGGAAACUGAAGCUAAUACCGCAUAAGACCUGAGGGUUAAAGAGGGCCUCUAUAUAUAAGCUCUUGCUAGGAGAUGAGCCCGCGUUGGAUUAGCUAGUUGGUAGGGUAAAGGCUUACCAAGGCGACGAUCCAUAGCUGGUUUGAGAGAAUGGCCAGCCACACUGGGACUGAGACACGGCCCAGACUCCUACGGGAGGCAGCAGUGGGGAAUAUUGGACAAUGGGGGAAACCCUGAUCCAGCAAUGCCACGUGUGUGAAGAAGGCCUUAGGGUUGUAAAGCACUUUCAGCGGGGAGGAAGGUAAGCUAAUUAAUACUUGGCUUAAUUGACGUUACCUGCAGAAGAAGCACCGGCUAACUCCGUGCCAGCAGCCGCGGUAAUACGGAGGGUGCGAGCGUUAAUCGGAAUUACUGGGCGUAAAGGGCGCGUAGGCGGAAGAUUAAGUUGGAUGUGAAAUCCCAGGGCUCAACCUUGGAACUGCAUCCGAAACUGGUAUUCUAGAGUAUGGUAGAGGAAAGUGGAAUUUCAGGUGUAGCGGUGAAAUGCGUAGAUAUCUGAAGGAACACCGGUGGCGAAGGCGACUUUCUGGAUCAAUACUGACGCUGAGGCGCGAAAGCAUGGGU